UGCCCAGCAACUCCUAUCCCUAUUUCCUCGUGGUACUGACUGGGGUACGAGUAACCUAGAGAAAGAUCGGGUAACCAGCCCCCGGUGGGAACUUUGAUCAUAUGCUGACAGAGAAGG
Molecule: ribozyme, 117 nt
Filed under: Aedes aegypti (yellow fever mosquito)
Lineage: Eukaryota; Metazoa; Arthropoda; Insecta; Diptera; Culicidae
Description: drz-agam-1 ribozyme
Rfam family: drz-agam-1 ribozyme
Source: Rfam by way of RNAcentral